CAUCUACACAACACUGUAGGUGGUGCACCCAGCAGAGCAGCUAUCAUUGGGAAAAUACACGCUUGAGCUCUUGCCUCGUCCCCCGCUCCUCUGCGCCUCACGCAAGCUGCAGCGCGGACGCGCACCGUACUUGGUCGUAUUAUUCUGCUUUCUCUAUCUUCGACGGAUCCCUCACAGGCAGACACGUAUACAUCCACAUCCAGAAGCGUCAGCUUUUGCCGUUUUUACGUCUCGUUGUUAUUAAGUAGUCCUCGGCUGAGAGGCGCCAUCGCGCGCACGUGUGUUGUAUCGCACCCAACGAGCAAGUGCACAUUUCUCUGCUGCCGCCGCUUCUUUUUUCACUUUUCGUUUGGCUUUGGCCGCGGCCGAGAAGACAUGAUGGAGGGCAAUGCGUCGGAGGCACACGUACACAGCGGCAUGGCGAUGGGGCUGCAGGAGAGACCGCCGCUGGAGCUGGCUUCGCACGCCUCUGAAGUGUCCUGCCUCACCCUCAAUGACAACUACGACAUGUGGAACGCGUCCAUGUACCCCAACCUUAACAGCGGCUUCGAUGCUAGUCUCACGAGCGCCACCACUCCCGAUGCCACCGCUGCCUGGUUUGCACCAGCAAUGCGUCCGCAGCGGAAACAACAGCUCUCGCACCAGAUGAUGCCGCUUCCUGCGCGCAGUGAGCAGACGACGAGUGACAUUGACUCGGAAGUCGUUCUCUGGGAUCGGCCACCAACACAGGAAGUACUCACUCCACCCGCUGCCUCGGGCUUGUAGCCUACGUCACCUGAGGUGAAAGCCACACACAGAAGCAGCGGUGACAUCACAGACGUGGAGGAGAUGUGCGGCAAGGAGUGUAUCAAGGGCAGACUGCAUGCGCUGUCGCCUCGUAGCAGCGCCGGCCCCACCAGCCCUUCCCCUCAAAGCAGCGCCACAGGCUCGAAGGCCGGCACGACAGAGUUGCCACCGUGAACCAGAAGUUACGUGGCUUUUGUUUUGCGACGGCGGGGUCAAGCGAUAUCGAGUGAGUUUGCAUGCCUAAACGGUGCGGCCACGCGUACCUCUCUGUGUUUUGUUGGUAUUGCGUCUUCUUUUGUUUUUCCCUCCUUUUCGGUUUGUACGGCGCCUGCCGUUUGGUCCCUCACAACUUUCUGCUGCGCCAUGCAUGCCUUAUCCAAG
Molecule: unclassified non-coding RNA, 1167 nt
Filed under: Leishmania donovani
Lineage: Eukaryota; Euglenozoa; Kinetoplastea; Trypanosomatida; Trypanosomatidae
Description: gene:LdHU3.31.1080(CDS-product:hypothetical_prote in_conserved)
Source: RNAcentral